CAAUAGCGUAUAUUAAAGUUGUUGCAGUUAAAAAGCCCGUAGUUGGAUUUCUGGCAGGAGCGACCGGUCACACACUCUGUGUGUGAACUUGCGUUGUCUCUGGCCAUCCUUGGGAAGAUCCUGUUUGGCAUUAAGUUGUCGGGCAGGGGAUACCCAUCGUUUACUGUGAAAAAAUUAGAGUGUUUAAAGCAGGCUUAUGCCGUUGAAUAUAUUAGCAUGGAAUAAUAAGAUAGGACUUCGGAACUAUUUUGUUGGUUUGCGUUACGAAGUAAUGAUUAAUAGGGACAGUUGGGGGUAUUCGUAUUUCGUUGUCAGAGGUGAAAUUCUUGGAUUUCCGAAAGACGAACUACUGCGAAAGCAUUUACCAAGGAUGUUUUCAUUAA
Molecule: ribosomal RNA, 383 nt
Filed under: uncultured eukaryote
Lineage: Eukaryota
Description: partial 18S ribosomal RNA
Rfam family: Eukaryotic small subunit ribosomal RNA
Source: RNAcentral